This 465-nucleotide ribosomal RNA is filed under the name Vreelandella stevensii. RNAcentral describes it as "partial 16S ribosomal RNA". It matches the Rfam family "Bacterial small subunit ribosomal RNA", at positions 338 to 795 of the family's 1533-position model. Lineage: Bacteria; Pseudomonadati; Pseudomonadota; Gammaproteobacteria; Oceanospirillales; Halomonadaceae. The record is from RNAcentral.
CCUACGGGCGGCUGCCGUGGGGAAUAUUGGACAAUGGGCGAAAGCCUGAUCCAGCCAUGCCGCGUGUGUGAAGAAGGCCUUCGGGUUGUAAAGCACUUUCAGUGGGGAAGAAAGCCUUGGGGCUAAUACCCUCGAGGAAGGACAUCACCCACAGAAGAAGCACCGGCUAACUCCGUGCCAGCAGCCGCGGUAAUACGGAGGGUGCGAGCGUUAAUCGGAAUUACUGGGCGUAAAGCGCGCGUAGGCGGUCUGAUAAGCCGGUUGUGAAAGCCCCGGGCUCAACCUGGGAACGGCAUCCGGAACUGUCAGGCUAGAGUGCAGGAGAGGAAGGUAGAAUUCCCGGUGUAGCGGUGAAAUGCGUAGAGAUCGGGAGGAAUACCAGUGGCGAAGGCGGCCUUCUGGACUGACACUGACGCUGAGGUGCGAAAGCGUGGGUAGCAAACAGGAUUAGAUACCCUUGUAGUC